GAUGCACGCUGGCGGCGUGCCUAAUACAUGCAAGUCGAGCGAACAGAUGAGGAGCUUGCUCCUCUGACGUUAGCGGCGGACGGGUGAGUAACACGUGGAUAACCUACCUAUAAGACUGGGAUAACUUCGGGAAACCGGAGCUAAUACCGGAUAAUAUAUUGAACCGCAUGGUUCAAUAGUGAACGACGGUUUUGCUGUCACUUAUAGAUUGAUCCGCGCCGCAUUAGCUAGUUGGUAAGGUAACGGCUUACCAAGGCAACGAUGCGUAGCCGACCUGCGAGGGUGAUCGGCCACACUGGAACUGAGACACAGUCCAGACUCCUACGGGAGGCAGCAGUAGGGAAUCUUCCGCAAUGGGCGAAAGCCUGACGGAGCAACGCCGCGUGAGUGAUGAAGGUCUUCGGAUCGUAAAACUCUGUUAUUAGGGAAGAACAAAUGUGUAAGUAACUAUGCACGUCUUGACGGUACCUAAUCAGAAAGCCACGGCUAACUACGUG
This 497-nucleotide ribosomal RNA is filed under the name uncultured bacterium. RNAcentral's name for it is "partial 16S ribosomal RNA". It matches the Rfam family "Bacterial small subunit ribosomal RNA", at positions 28 to 507 of the family's 1533-position model. The record is from RNAcentral.